Small nuclear RNA from Heterocephalus glaber (naked mole-rat), 164 nucleotides. Its record names the gene U2. It matches the Rfam family "U2 spliceosomal RNA". Rfam says of the family: U2 is a small nuclear RNA (snRNA) component of the spliceosome (involved in pre-mRNA splicing). Complementary binding between U2 snRNA (in an area lying towards the 5' end but 3' to hairpin I) and the branchpoint sequence (BPS) of the intron results the bulging out of an unpaired adenosine, on the BPS, which initiates a nucleophilic attack at the intronic 5' splice site, thus starting the first of two transesterification reactions that mediate splicing. Lineage: Eukaryota; Metazoa; Chordata; Mammalia; Rodentia; Bathyergidae. The record is from Ensembl.
AUUGCUUCUUGGCCUUUUGGCUAAGAUCAAGUGUAAUAUCUGUUCUUACCAGUUUAAUAUAUACAAAUUUUCACUUUAUUUAUUUAUUUAUUUUUUGGUACCGAGGAUUGAACUCAGAUCCUUCUGCUUGUGAGGCACGCAGUGGAACCACUGAGCUAAAUCCC